GAGGGUGGUAAGUGUAUUUCACAGCAAUGGGCUCUUUUUCGUCCGGCCUGGUGAAAUCUAGGGCCAUCCGCGCUUCUUCCGAGGCUCGGCCAGAGAAUGCCAAGGGGGAGAGGCAGGACAAAAGUUGAGGCGAAUCCAGAGGCAUGCCGGUGGGUCUCAAGUUAUCUGAUGCGGAGAUAAUGUCGGAGCUAUUGGUAGAGUAGGUAUGUGACCUCAGGAUUUAAUGAGAAUUUAAUACCAAGAUAAGUCGGUUUUUAAUUCAACGAGCUCUUUCCUGCAAGAUCCUUUGCCGCAAUGGAGAUUAAGAAGGAGAUAAGCCGCAAGAAUGAGUCCAGCAUUUCCAAGCAAAGUUGUUCUUUCUCCCUUGUUACUUAAUCCAGAUUCUGGCUGAAAAGAUUCAUCUCAAGGAAUUGUAUUCUUGAAGAUGUCGGGAAAAGAUUCCUGGGUCUUGGAAGAGAAUUACUAAAACUGCAGGGGAGGAAUAAAAUUGAAGGGUGUUUUUCUUAGAGAACACCAUGUGUGAGAUUUAUCAAGAAUUUGAAGAUUUAUAUAAGAUACGGGUCCUUUGCGCCAUUUCAACAUGCGUGAAUCUUUUCACACGGUAGUUAAACAGCACCUGACCCACAGCAGCACAGCGGAACUUUUAAUUGUCACAAUAUUAACUGUGUAUUAUUGCAUAAACUUGGCUACGGCUCUUUAUUCCAGAAUCAUUAUGCAAAGAAAAGGUGUGCAUCAAGAAUGGUAUCAGUUACAUCACUUCUUUCAAAGUCUUGGUCAUGGAACAUCUGUUAGUCACACAGAUAGCAAAGCAUGUAACUGUGUUGCCUCCUUGCCUCCCAGUGAUAAGCCCAUGAAACAUUUUACAAAAGUGGAUAAUCAGAAGAGGGAAUUGGUCAUAUAUAUGACUGAACUACAAAGAAAUGAAAAAUGAUUAACACUGCAGGUAAAAUUAGUGUUAGAAGCUUUGAUGAUACCACGACCAACAUGAAGCUACAGUACAAGCCACAUUUUUUAAGAGUCUGAUGAAUAUAAAAGCAAGGUAAAGUUGGUUCAACAUCUUUUAGUGUAAAAUUUCACCAAGAACAGAAAGCUGCUUAUGGUUGAAAUGAAGCAUUUACUUCUCCUUUGUAGUGUAAUCAAGAACAAAUACCAGUUUGGCAUUGAAGUCAGUUGCUACAUUGAAGGAAAUGGUAAUUACAAGGACAUCUGUUUACUGCCAGUAAAGGCUGGUUUCAUCUCAAAGUCAACACAAACUAAUGUUAAACUACCUAGAGAAGCUACAAACUCAGAUAAGGAUGUUACUGUGAAAUGUGCGCUCAGAUUCCAAGAACUACAGGCAGUCCUUGCAGUAGUGAGAGGCUGUACUGUGGAAAAACUGCAACAUUCGGAUGGGAUGUAAAUGGAGUUAGAAGAUAGAGAUGACCGUGAGAGUGUUGACGCUGCUGCCAUUCAAGAAACAGUUCUAGGUAUGUAGGAGGCAGAACACCGGUGAAGUUUUAUGUAGGAAAGCAGUUGUAAACAAUGUGUCUCAAAAGAAGUGAUGUUGUUGAACAACUUAACAUUGAAGGAACUUGCAGAACUAUCAUGACGUUGACUGUUAAAAGAUAAAAUUUUGGAAGCUGAUUCAAACUUGGAAAUGAGUAUGACAGUUUGCCAAGGCAUAGAUAAGAUGCCUUGGCAUCUCACUCCAUAUUAUAAGUUUUAUAAUGAGAAAGCAAGCACAUUUCAAAACUACUUGAUACAUUUUUUUUAAUAAAGAAAGAAAACGUAA
Long non-coding RNA from Bubalus bubalis (water buffalo), 1771 nucleotides. RefSeq lists it as uncharacterized. The transcript has 6 exons. The record is from RefSeq and is a predicted model, not a curated record. NCBI's taxonomy places the organism in Eukaryota, Metazoa, Chordata, Mammalia, Artiodactyla, Bovidae.